This is a small nuclear RNA of Ochotona curzoniae (black-lipped pika), 108 nucleotides long. Lineage: Eukaryota; Metazoa; Chordata; Mammalia; Lagomorpha; Ochotonidae. The record is from RefSeq and is a predicted model, not a curated record.
GUGCUCACUUCAGAAGCACAUAUACUAAAAUUGGAAUGAUACAGAGAAGAUUAGCACGGUCCCUGCACAAGGAUGAUGUAAAAAGGACAACAGACUAUGGAAAUAGAA